This 468-nucleotide ribosomal RNA is filed under the name uncultured bacterium. RNAcentral's name for it is "partial 16S ribosomal RNA". It matches the Rfam family "Bacterial small subunit ribosomal RNA", at positions 28 to 507 of the family's 1533-position model. The record is from RNAcentral.
GACGAACGCUGGCGGCGUGCUUAACACAUGCAAGUCGAACGGAAAGGCCCUGCUUUUGUGGGGUGCUCGAGUGGCGAACGGGUGAGUAACACGUGAGUAACCUGCCCUUGACUUUGGGAUAACUUCAGGAAACUGGGGCUAAUACCGGAUAGGAGCUCCUGCUGCAUGGUGGGGGUUGGAAAGUUUCGGCGGUUGGGGAUGGACUCGCGGCUUAUCAGCUUGUUGGUGGGGUAGUGGCUUACCAAGGCUUUGACGGGUAGCCGGCCUGAGAGGGUUACCGGCCACAUUGGGACUGAGAUACGGCCCAGACUCCUACGGGAGGCAGCAGGGGGGAAUAUUGCACAAUGGGCGGAAGCCUGAUGCAGCAACGCCGCGUGCGGGAUGACGGCCUUCGGGUUGUAAACCGCUUUCGCCUGUGACGAAGAGUGAGUGACGGUAAUGGGUAAAGAAGCACCGGCUAACUACGUG